Molecule: non-coding RNA, 106 nt
Organism: Acanthosepion pharaonis
Lineage: Eukaryota; Metazoa; Mollusca; Cephalopoda; Sepiida; Sepiidae
Source: the annotation of a GenBank genome assembly
CACAUUAUGUUGAAAUACUAGUUCCCUUAUGAUCACCGAAGUUAAGCAAUGUCGAGCCUGGCCAAUACCUAGAUGGGUGACAACUUAGGAAUAUCAGGUGCUGUAA